Molecule: ribosomal RNA, 274 nt
Filed under: uncultured eukaryote
Lineage: Eukaryota
Description: partial 18S ribosomal RNA
Rfam family: Eukaryotic small subunit ribosomal RNA
Source: RNAcentral
GUUAAAAAGCUCGUAGUUGGAUUUCUGUGAGAGUAUGAUGUCCUAACGUGUUUAGAGCGCAGAAAACUCUUGCAUCCUUCUGUUACCUCCACGUGGCAUUCGCUUGCCAGUGGUUGGCUCAGAGAAUUUACCUUGAGAAAAUUAGAGUGUUUCAGGCAGGCUUAGUCGGAAUACAUUAGCAUGGAAUAAUAGAAUAGGACUCCGGUCUCGUUGUUGGUUUGAGGGACUGUAGUAAUGAUUAAUAGGGAUAGUUGGGGGCAUUAGUAUUCGGUUG